CGGAAGGCAGCAGUGGGGAAUAUUGCACAAUGGGCGAAAGCCUGAUGCAGCGACGCCGCGUGAGUGAAGAAGUAUCUCGGUAUGUAAAGCUCUAUCAGCAGGGAAGAAAAUGACGGUACCUGACUAAGAAGCCCCGGCUAACUACGUGCCAGCAGCCGCGGUAAUACGUAGGGGGCAAGCGUUAUCCGGAUUUACUGGGUGUAAAGGGAGCGUAGACGGUUUGGCAAGUCUGAAGUGAAAUGCGGGGGCUCAACUCCUGAACUGCUUUGGAAACUGUCGAACUAGAGUGCAGGAGAGGUAAGUGGAAUUCCUAGUGUAGCGGUGAAAUGCGUAGAUAUUAGGAGGAACACCAGUGGCGAAGGCGGCUUACUGGACUGUAACUGACGUUGAGGCUCGAAAGCGUGGGGAGCAAACAGGAUUAGAUACCCUGGUA
RNAcentral lists this ribosomal RNA (433 nucleotides) under uncultured Lachnospiraceae bacterium. RNAcentral's name for it is "partial 16S ribosomal RNA". It matches the Rfam family "Bacterial small subunit ribosomal RNA", at positions 342 to 792 of the family's 1533-position model. Lineage: Bacteria; Bacillati; Bacillota; Clostridia; Lachnospirales; Lachnospiraceae. The record is from RNAcentral.